GUCUUUUUGAAUUAAUUUUAAAGUCUAACCUGCCCACUGAAAAUUUUAAAUGGCCGCAGUAUUCUAACUGUGCAAAGGUAGCAUAAUCAUUAGUCUUUUAAUUGAAGGCUGGAAUGAAUGGUUGGACGAAAUAUUAACUGUUUCAUUUAAAUUUUUUAUAGAAUUUUAUUUUUUAGUCAAAAAGCUAAAAUAAAUUUAAAAGACGAGAAGACCCUAUAAAUCUUUAUAUUUUAUUUAUUUUAAUUCUAAAGAUUAUUUUUAUUAUGAUAAAUUAAAAUAUUUUAUUGGGGUGAUAUUAAAAUUUAAAAAACUUUUAAUUUUAAAAACCAUUAAUUUAUGAAUAAUUGAUCCAUUAAUAAUGAUUAAAAAUUUAAGUUACUUUAGGGAUAACAGCGUAAUUUUUUUGGAGAGUUCAUAUCGAUAAAAAAGAUUGCGACCUCGAUGUUGGAUUAAGAUAUAAUUUUGGGUGUAGCCGUUCAAAUUUUAAGUCUGUUCGACUUUUAAAUUCUU
RNAcentral lists this ribosomal RNA (510 nucleotides) under Drosophila pectinitarsus. Its description in RNAcentral is "partial 16S ribosomal RNA". It matches the Rfam family "Bacterial large subunit ribosomal RNA", at positions 1828 to 2597 of the family's 2925-position model. The record is from RNAcentral. Lineage: Eukaryota; Metazoa; Arthropoda; Insecta; Diptera; Drosophilidae.